UGGGGAAUAUUGCGCAAUGGGCGAAAGCCUGACGCAGCAACGCCGCGUGAGGGAUGAAGGCCUUCGGGUUGUAAACCUCUUUCAGCAGGGAAGAAGCGAAAGUGACGGUACCUGCAGAAGAAGCACCGGCUAACUACGUGCCAGCAGCCGCGGUAAUACGUAGGGUGCAAGCGUUGUCCGGAUUUAUUGGGCGUAAAGAGCUCGUAGGCGGUUUGUUACGUCGGAUGUGAAAUCCUGGAGCUUAACUCCGGGCCUGCAUUCGAUACGGGCAGACUCGAGUGUUGUAGGGGAGACUGGAACUCCUGGUGUAGCGGUGAAAUGCGCAGAUAUCAGGAAGAACACCGAUGGCGAAGGCAGGUCUCUGGGCAACUACUGACGCUGAGGAGCGAAAGCGUGGGGAGCAAACAG
Molecule: ribosomal RNA, 408 nt
Filed under: uncultured bacterium
Lineage: Bacteria
Description: bacterial SSU rRNA
Rfam family: Bacterial small subunit ribosomal RNA
Source: RNAcentral